CAGCAGCCGCGGUAAUACGUAGGUCCCGAGCGUUGUCCGGAUUUAUUGGGCGUAAAGCGAGCGCAGGCGGUUAGAUAAGUCUGAAGUUAAAGGCUGUGGCUUAACCAUAGUACGCUUUGGAAACUGUUUAACUUGAGUGCAAGAGGGGAGAGUGGAAUUCCAUGUGUAGCGGUGAAAUGCGUAGAUAUAUGGAGGAACACCGGUGGCGAAAGCGGCUCUCUGACUUGUAGCUGACGCUGAGGCUCGAAAGCGUGGGGAGCAAACAGGAUUAGAUACCCGUGUAGUCCCUGUCUCUUAUACA
RNAcentral lists this ribosomal RNA (301 nucleotides) under uncultured bacterium. RNAcentral describes it as "partial 16S ribosomal RNA". It matches the Rfam family "Bacterial small subunit ribosomal RNA", at positions 509 to 808 of the family's 1533-position model. The record is from RNAcentral.